Molecule: ribosomal RNA, 401 nt
Filed under: Escherichia coli
Lineage: Bacteria; Pseudomonadati; Pseudomonadota; Gammaproteobacteria; Enterobacterales; Enterobacteriaceae
Description: bacterial LSU rRNA
Rfam family: Bacterial large subunit ribosomal RNA
Source: RNAcentral
GGGUUGUGAGGUUAAGCGACUAAGCGUACACGGUGGAUGCCCUGGCAGUCAGAGGCGAUGAAGGACGUGCUAAUCUGCGAUAAGCGUCGGUAAGGUGAUAUGAACCGUUAUAACCGGCGAUUUCCGAAUGGGGAAACCCAGUGUGUUUCGGCACACUAUCAUUAACUGAAUCCAUAGGUUAAUGAGGCGAACCGGGGGAACUGAAACAUCUAAGUACCCCGAGGAAAAGAAAUCAACCGAGAUUCCCCCAGUAGCGGCGAGCGAACGGGGAGGAGCCCAGAGCCUGAAUCAGUGUGUGUGUUAGUGGAAGCGUCUGGAAAGGCGCGCGAUACAGGGUGACAGCCCCGUACACAAAAAUGCACAUAUUGUGAGCUCGAUGAGUAGGGCGGGACACGUGGUAU